This 253-nucleotide ribosomal RNA is filed under the name uncultured bacterium. RNAcentral describes it as "partial 16S ribosomal RNA". It matches the Rfam family "Bacterial small subunit ribosomal RNA", at positions 524 to 776 of the family's 1533-position model. The record is from RNAcentral.
UACGUAGGGUGCAAGCGUUAAUCGGAAUUACUGGGCGUAAAGCGUGUGUAGGCGGGCCCGUAAGUGUCUUGUGAAAUCCCACGGCUCAACCGUGGAACUGCUGGGCAUACUGCGGGUCUUGGGCCAACUAGGGGCAGCCGGAACAAGCGGUGGAGCGGUGAAAUGCGUAGAUAUCGCUUGGAACGCCGAAGGUGAAAACAGGCUGCUGGGGUUGCGCCGACGCUGAGACACGAAAGCCAGGGGAGCAAACGGG